GAAGGAAGUUUGACUGGGAAGUUCGCGUCCCGAAGAG
This 37-nucleotide ribosomal RNA is filed under the name Theileria uilenbergi. RNAcentral describes it as "large subunit ribosomal RNA". The record is from RNAcentral. Lineage: Eukaryota; Apicomplexa; Aconoidasida; Piroplasmida; Theileriidae.